GCCGCGUGUAUGAUGAAGGCCUUCGGGUUGUAAGCUCUGUCAGAGGGGAAGAAGUGCAUGGGUGCUAAUACCAUCUUUACUUGACGGUACCCUCAAAGGAAGCCCCGGCUAACUCCGUGCCAGCAGCCGCGGUAAUA
Molecule: ribosomal RNA, 137 nt
Filed under: uncultured Geobacter sp.
Lineage: Bacteria; Pseudomonadati; Thermodesulfobacteriota; Desulfuromonadia; Geobacterales; Geobacteraceae
Description: partial 16S ribosomal RNA
Rfam family: Bacterial small subunit ribosomal RNA
Source: RNAcentral